RNAcentral lists this long non-coding RNA (1377 nucleotides) under Zonotrichia albicollis (white-throated sparrow). RNAcentral's name for it is "lncRNA (ENSZALG00000000196.1)". The record is from RNAcentral. Lineage: Eukaryota; Metazoa; Chordata; Aves; Passeriformes; Passerellidae.
AUGCCCUCCGGGGGCCGCUCUCCCUCGCCGCCGCCCCACGGCCCCCGCCGGGCCGGGGCAAAGGGACGGCCCGUGGGCAGCGACCGCUCCCCGGCUCCCGGAGGAGACAGCCCGGCCCUGGCGCCAGCCUCGGAGGAACUUGCGGCAGCGGUGCCCCGAAGGGGCUGCAGCGGCUGCAAGGGGAGAGGCGGUUCCCGCGGUGUGCCGGCGAUGCGAGCACCGCUGUGUUCGCCUAGCAGUCUCUCUGCCAGGCAGGGUCAGUUUUGGUAUUGCAUGAGAGGAAAAAAGGUGGUGCUGGAGGAGGGGGGAGUGAAUUGGAAAGGAGGGGUGGGAGGAGGAGAAGGGGAGGGGGGAGAGGUUGCUCUAAUCCACUGCAAUACGGAUCAAAUCCAGUGCUCUAAUUUAUCCCUUAAAGCCACGGAUCUACAGAUUACCUCUACGACCGCUGCCCCGUUCUGCACGAAAUUAGAAAAUAUACAAAACAGCUGGUCAAGUGCUGUCCGGAUGCAACCUGCGGAGCUCGGCUGCCGAGCCGGAGCAGCCCCACAGCUGCAGCCGCAGCUGUGGCCGGGCAGGACGCAUCCCCGCCGGGCAGGCGGUCACCCCGGCCGCGGGGCUCAGCCUGCAGGCUCGGGGCACGGGGCAGCCCGGUGGGCACACGCGGCGGGCAGCGAGCUGGGUGGCGGUGCGGCUGCCCCGAGCACCCCCGCGCCCGCAGCCGCAAGGAUUCCCCAGCGCCGGUGUCUGCAGAGCCCCGGCGGCCCGGACCCGCUCGGCCCCGCGGCGCUGCGGGCUGCCCGCUGCCACCUUGCAGUCCCCUUGUCCCCCGGCGCGCCGGGAGCCGCCCGGUACCGGCGUGUGUGGCGCCGGCGGAGCCGCUCCUACAGCCGGCCAUGCCGAGUGAGAUCCCCGCGGCAGCGGAGCCGGAGUGCGCCCGGAGUCUGCCCUGUUCUUCCUCUCCCUUCCUGCUCUUCUCCUGUCCGUCUUUUCUCUGCCCCUGUCCUCUGUCUGUCUCUCUCCGUCCAGUGUCUUAUGUCCCUCCCUGUUCCUGUCCUUGUCCCUGUGCUUUUCAACCACGGACUUCUCCUCCCUCCGGAGUCCCGUUCCUGUCCGGGGGUCUCCCUUCCCGAUCCUCCCCGUGCUCCCGCCCCGGCCGGGCUCCCCGUAGCUGUCCCUUCAGCACCCGCCGCCCCUGCAGCAGCUCCGUCCGCCUCCCACCGAGCACAACCCGCCCCAGGAGAAGAGAAAGGUGUUCUUGGGCCUCUGAGGUCCUCACAACUCCCACGGGGAGAGCAGAAGGGUGGGAAGAGGCAUUCUGCCCCUCCAGCCCGCAGACCACCAUUCCUCCCCACAGUGUGGGUGAGGCAGGCAAGGUGA